GGAGCAUUGGUGGACGGCUCGUACGGUGGCACUGCUGAUCACCGUCGUGGUUGUCAUGCUUCCUCUGAGUCAGCUCCGACGUGUGGACUCCCUCAGGUUCACAUCUGCGGCAUCAGUACUUCUGGCAGUUGUGUUCGUGUUCAUCAGCACCGGCAUGGCCCUGUCGGCCCUCUUCCAAGGAAAGACCAAAACCCCCAGGCUCCUCCCUGACUUCACCAAACUCUCCUCCCCUUUCGA
Molecule: unclassified non-coding RNA, 237 nt
Filed under: Hevea brasiliensis (rubber tree)
Lineage: Eukaryota; Viridiplantae; Streptophyta; Magnoliopsida; Malpighiales; Euphorbiaceae
Source: RNAcentral